Molecule: long non-coding RNA, 1257 nt
Organism: Oryza sativa Japonica Group (Japanese rice)
Lineage: Eukaryota; Viridiplantae; Streptophyta; Magnoliopsida; Poales; Poaceae
Source: RefSeq, a predicted model, not a curated record
UUUCCCAUUGUCUUCAGCCUCCAGUUCAACACAAUGGAAGCUCCAUUCCGCGAGCAUUUAGACUGGCGGAGAGAUCCACUCGCAGGUCUUUUUCCACCAUGGUGCGACCUUCCAAUCUGCGCAUGCGGUGAUCGAUGUAUACUCAUGACAUCACUUACUACUGAAAUCCGCGGUAGGAGAUUUUUCCAAUGCCCAAACAUUUACCAGAAUUUUUCAGACUUACCGUAGUUUGUGCGACUUCGUUGAGUGGGUUUAUACGACGAAUCCACAACUUGACAGGGCACGCCCAUAUCCAUGCAGCGAACCAUUAUCAGACUAUCUAAGGAGGAAGGAAGAGAACGAAUGACGAAAAACUAUCGAAUCCUUACAAUGGCAAGUAAAUCCACCGGACUGUCAACUUGGCGGGAGUGUCCAGAGUGUAGGUGUGGAGACCGUUGCCAGGUGAUAAGGUCCGUUCGACAACGAACUCUAGGACAGAGAUGCUUCGUCUAUCCUAACAUUGUCGACAAUGAUUUCAUCGAAGAAGACCGCAAAUGUAGCUAUGUAAAGUGGAUUGAUACGGUGCGAAGAACUUCCAUCGGUUCGACGAUAACUCAACCUGAGACGACCACACAAUUCAUUCAAGCAUGGAUGGAGUACGUGCGCUUGGUUCAGUCCGCUAGCUUACACUGGAGAUCAAAUCCAUUAGGUAUACCUGAAUGGUCUGAUCGUCCCAAAUGCGGUUGUAGAGAUCGCUGCCAUGUUGUAACGUCCUUCUCACAAGAUAUAUAUGGCAUGCGGUACUUCGUCUGUCCCAACAUAGACGACAACUUCGUUGGGAAUCCAAGGAUAUGUGCUUUUACUUCAUGGAUCAACAUGGUCAGCCCGAUGUAGGAAGGCGGAAGAGUAUCUGAAGCUGAAACGCAAACAUAGUAUAAGAGAUUGAAUGAUCACGAAGUUGCAUUACGUAAACAACGACGUAGAAUGGGACAAUAGAGAAGCUUAACCUCAAAUCGCUCUAGUUCAGGACUUUUGUUGUAAGUGUCAAGAAUGGAUUAUGUUCGUCUAUUUGUUAGCUAAUGUUUCAUUCUCUUUUUCAUCUAUUAAGCUCAUUUGCGCUUCCGUAGCUGCAAUAUCUUCGAUCCCCUCCUUUCUUUAUCCAUCCUUACUAAAUAAAUUGCGACAAAGCCAUGAAACCAAAAAUAUAUACAAAUAAUGAAACUAAAUAAUCCAAAUAUUUUAAGCCACAAAUAAAUACUACAAUUUCCCAUAAAAUUU